This 467-nucleotide ribosomal RNA is filed under the name uncultured bacterium. RNAcentral's name for it is "bacterial SSU rRNA". It matches the Rfam family "Bacterial small subunit ribosomal RNA", at positions 355 to 825 of the family's 1533-position model. The record is from RNAcentral.
UUUCGAAUCAUCCACAAUGGGCGAAAGCCUGAUGGUGCGACGCCGCGUGAGGGAUGAAGGUCCUCGGAUUGUAAACCUCUGUCACCAGGGAGCAAAAACUAGACUCAUACUCUAGCUUGAGUUAACCUGGAGAGGAAGUAGUGGCAAACUCCGUGCCAGCAGCCGCGGUAAUACGGAGACUACGAGCGUUACUCGGAUUUACUGGGCGUAAAGGGCGCGUAGGCGGCGUGGUAAGUCAUCUGUGAAAUCUCCGAGCUUAACUCGGAACGGUCAGAUGAUACUGCUGUGCUAGAGUACAGAAGGGGCAAUCGGAAUUCUUGGUGUAGCGGUGAAAUGCGUAGAUAUCAAGAGGAACACCUGAGGUGAAGACGGGUUGCUGGGCUGAUACUGACGCUGAGGCGCGAAAGCUAGGGUAGCAAACGGGAUUAGAUACCCCCGUAGUCCCUGAGCGGGCUGGCAAGGCGCAU